UUAAGAGCUUGAGCUCGGUUCGAGUACUAAACGAGCCUCUAUAAAUAAGGCGAGUGCAUACGAGUCGAGCUACAGUUAACCAGAGUUCGGCUCGUUUACUAAAUGAGCCCUUAACGAGCCUCGAGCUACUCGCGAAUGGUUUGUGUGUUUUCAAUUUAUUUUCUCCGGCUGGUAAGAAAUUUCCUUGAGCUAUGGGAUUUGAGAAAAAUCCGGCACAUUUAGAGAUCACUAUAGUGUCGUUCCAGAAUUUUUAUUUUGAAAAUGUAAAGUUCAUUGUUAUGGAGCGUGGAGCCUGAUAGUAUGGUAUAGCAAGGCAUGUCUCUCAAAUCCAAUAACAAAGGGAACAGUAGUAUAUUCUACACUUAGCUAUAUACACUGUAGAGAGAGGAAUGCAUUCCAUAGUUCUUCUUUAUCAUAGGGAAAACUGCUGCAGCUAUGGUGGCCGAAGCCUUCAUGGAUGAACCCACAUAAAUCCAGUGUCCUUUAAGAUUGUGCUUCUAUUUUCUUUUUCUUUUGUAUUCGUAUCUCCAACAUUUUGUGUUAGGUUCCGUGAACUCACUAAUCAACAUGAAGUUGUGGUAGGUACCAGUUUGUUGUUUUACCUCCCAAGUGUGAGAGGACGUGGGGAGAUGGCACAUUGGUCUCCAGCUAUCAGUCAAGCUGCCCAACCUGUGCUGUUUGGUGCCAUCUACUGCUACCCACUUGUUGACGGAGGCUUGAGUGCCUCUGGCCUUUUCUCCUCGUGCUUUGCCUAGUUAUAUGCAUGUUUUCCAUAUGGAGAGAGAGAGAGAGAGAGAGAGAGAGAGAGAGAGAGAGAGAGAGAGAGAGAGAGAGAGAGAGAGAGAGACGUCGUAAAACUCCAAUGCUUGGAGCGGGCCAAACCUAGUUACAUCUCCGUGUCUGCAUUGUGUGUGUGUAACCUUUAACCCCCAACAGCCAAUUCUCUGUUUGCCUUUUGAAAUCGCUAUUGUUAAACUGACAUUAUAUGCACUUUGUUAUGAACUUAUGAGCCAUUCCUUUUUGUUCCAUUUUCUUAGUUGAUAUCAUUUUGCAUAUCAAAAAUUAGCCAAAUGUGUCCAUUUGGAUAACUGCUAAAUGUAGCCUUUCUUGCCUGUAUGUGAAUUGCUAUUGUUAUUAAUCCAUAUUUGCUUCCAUCUGUAGUUAAAAAUCAUUUUUAUCUUUUUGUUUAUGCCGCAUUCUAUUGACUAUUGGCUUUGGACAGACUUGAUUGCUCCGGAAUCUGAAAGGCUUCUGAAAAUGUUGUAAGAGUUCAUCAUCAGGAGGGGGCAGACCUUUUAUACUUUCCAAUUUUCACAACCAUCAGGUUUUUCUUGAUGGAGAAGCAGCAAUGCAAGGCACUUUAUAGUGUGAAGCUUUGAAGUGGGUCACACUCACAGAUCACCUUGCAUGGAAGCAGUCUGAAGGAAGAGACCAUAGACUCCAUUUCAUCAUCCCUGGUCUUUCGAGUCUGUUCGCAGAUAUAUGAAUAAUACAAUUUGGCUGUUACCAGCUAUGGACUCCACAGGGAACUAGUUAGUAUCUGAAUCAAGUUGCAAUGGAUAUGUCUAAUGUCACGUAUUUUUGGGCUGCUGAUGACUAAUUAAAGUAACAACUUUCAGGUACAAGCCUGGGCAAGUUUCACUUGAGAAAGACUUGAUACUUCUAUAUGUCCCCAAUGUUCAUUUGUGUGAUCCAAAAUGCUUAUCUGAAAGUGAAGCAAACAGAAAGACACUGUUAUUUUUUCGAGGGAGGCUUAAAAGAAAUGCUGUAAGAGUUUUGGUCCAGACUAAGAAGUGAAAUACCAUUUGUAUAUUUUGAUUCAUUUAAGAGAAUGUUUUGGAAAGUUAAAAAUAAUCCUGGUCAGUUAUUUAGAUGUGGAAUCAAAGAUCAUGUGAUAUGAUGUUCUGGCAAUAUUCAGAGACAGUUGUAGACUUGCAGUGAAUCCGUAAUAAGUACUUGAUGAGAGUUUGCUUUGUUUCGUUUUGGAAAAAUUGAAUAGCACACAUAUAGGCCAAAAAGAUGGCAACUUUUGUUUUGAAGGCCAACAAAUGGAACUUUCUCAGAGGAAUGAUAUGAAGAAGCUAGAUGUGUCUUUAUU
Long non-coding RNA from Rhododendron vialii, 2098 nucleotides. RefSeq lists it as uncharacterized. The transcript has 2 exons. The record is from RefSeq and is a predicted model, not a curated record. NCBI's taxonomy places the organism in Eukaryota, Viridiplantae, Streptophyta, Magnoliopsida, Ericales, Ericaceae.